AACGAACGCUGGCGGUGUGCUUAACACAUGCAAGUCGAACGAGAAAGUUUCCUUCGGGAAACUAGUAAAGUGGCGCAAGGGUGAGUAACACGUGAAUAAUCUGCCCUCGAGAUCGGGAUAACCUGGCGAAAGCUAGGCUAAUACCGGAUAAGACCACAUUUCAUAUGGAAUGUGGGAAAAGGAGUCUCAAUCUUCACUCGAGGAUGAGUUCGGCGGACCAUUAGCUUGUUGGUGAGAUAAAAGCUCACCAAGGCAACGAUGGUUAGCCGGCCUGAGAGGGCGAUCGGCCGACACUGGAACUGAGGACACGGUCCAGACUCCGUACGGGAGGCAGCAGUGGGGGAACUAUUGCGCAAUGGGCGAAAGCCUGACGCAGCAACACCGUGUGAGCGAUG
This 395-nucleotide ribosomal RNA is filed under the name uncultured Nitrospina sp. Its description in RNAcentral is "bacterial SSU rRNA". It matches the Rfam family "Bacterial small subunit ribosomal RNA", at positions 29 to 410 of the family's 1533-position model. The record is from RNAcentral. Lineage: Bacteria; Pseudomonadati; Nitrospinota; Nitrospinia; Nitrospinales; Nitrospinaceae.